Molecule: ribosomal RNA, 1491 nt
Filed under: uncultured bacterium
Lineage: Bacteria
Description: bacterial SSU rRNA
Rfam family: Bacterial small subunit ribosomal RNA
Source: RNAcentral
AGAGUUUGAUCCUGGCUCAGGAUGAACGCUAGCUACAGGCUUAACACAUGCAAGUCGAGGGGCAGCAUGGUCUUAGCUUGCUAAGGCCGAUGGCGACCGGCGCACGGGUGAGUAACGCGUAUCCAACCUGCCUUACACUCUUGGACAGCCUUCUGAAAGGGAGAUUAAUACAAGAUGUUAUCAUGAGUAAGCAUUUUCACAUGAUUAAAGGUUUACCGGUGUAAGAUGGGGAUGCGUUCCAUUAGAUAGUAGGCGGGGUAACGGCCCACCUAGUCUUCGAUGGAUAGGGGUUCUGAGAGGAAGGUCCCCCACAUUGGAACUGAGACACGGUCCAAACUCCUACGGGAGGCAGCAGUGAGGAAUAUUGGUCAAUGGACGAGAGUCUGAACCAGCCAAGUAGCGUGAAGGAUGAAGGUUCUAUGGAUUGUAAACUUCUUUUAUACGGGAAUAAACGAAUCCACGUGUGGAUUUUUGCAUGUACCGUAUGAAUAAGGAUCGGCUAACUCCGUGCCAGCAGCCGCGGUAAUACGGAGGAUCCGAGCGUUAUCCGGAUUUAUUGGGUUUAAAGGGAGCGUAGAUGGGUUGUUAAGUCAGUUGUGAAAGUUUGCGGCUCAACCGUAAAAUUGCAAUUGAUACUGGCAGUCUUGAGUACAGUUGAGGUAGGCGGAAUUCGUGGUGUAGCGGUGAAAUGCUUAGAUAUCACGAAGAACUCCGAUUGCGAAGGCAGCUUACUAACCUGUAACUGACAUUGAUGCUCGAAAGUGUGGGUAUCAAACAGGAUUAGAUACCCUGGUAGUCCACACGGUAAACGAUGAAUACUCGCUGUAGGCGAUAUACAGUCUGCGGCCAAGCGAAAGCAUUAAGUAUUCCACCUGGGGAGUACGCCGGCAACGGUGAAACUCAAAGGAAUUGACGGGGGCCCGCACAAGCGGAGGAACAUGUGGUUUAAUUCGAUGAUACGCGAGGAACCUUACCCGGGCUUAAAUUGCAACCGAAUAUGGCGGAAACGCUAUAGCUAGCAAUAGCGGUUGUGAAGGUGCUGCAUGGUUGUCGUCAGCUCGUGCCGUGAGGUGUCGGCUUAAGUGCCAUAACGAGCGCAACCCUUGCCGAUAGUUACUAACAGGUCAUGCUGAGGACUCUGUCGGGACUGCCAUCGUAAGAUGUGAGGAAGGUGGGGAUGACGUCAAAUCAGCACGGCCCUUACGUCCGGGGCUACACACGUGUUACAAUGGGGGGUACAGAGGGCUGCUACCACGCAAGUGGAUGCCAAUCCCAAAAACCUCUCUCAGUUCGGAUUGAAGUCUGCAACCCGACUUCAUGAAGCUGGAUUCGCUAGUAAUCGCGCAUCAGCCACGGCGCGGUGAAUACGUUCCCGGGCCUUGUACACACCGCCCGUCAAGCCAUGGGAGCCGGGGGUACCUGAAGUGCGUAACCGCAAGGAGCGCCCUAGGGUAAAACUGGUGACUGGGGCUAAGUCGUAACAAGGUAGCC